UACCAGCACCCCGAGUGGUCGGGACGUUUAUUGGGCCUAAAGCAUCCGUAGCCGGUUCUACAAGUCUUCCGUUAAAUCCACCUGCUUAACAGAUGGGCUGCGGAGGAUACUACAAGGCUAGGAGGCGGAAGAGGCAAGCGGUACUCAGUGGGUAGGGGUAAAAUCCUCUGAUCCAUUGAAGACCACCAGUGGCGAAGGCGGCUUGCCAAUACGCGCUCGACGGUGAGGGAUGAAAGCUGGGGGAGCAAACCGG
RNAcentral lists this ribosomal RNA (253 nucleotides) under uncultured bacterium. Its description in RNAcentral is "partial 16S ribosomal RNA". It matches the Rfam family "Archaeal small subunit ribosomal RNA", at positions 474 to 727 of the family's 1478-position model. The record is from RNAcentral.